GGUGUGGGGAUGUUUGUGCAGUCUUAGAUUUGUGUAAUUCCUUGUUUCCCAGGAUCUGUACAACCAUCCGAGGAAAGGUCAUAAAGAACAGGUCCAAUAGGAGCAUCCGUGUCUGUGAGAAGGGAUCAGAACAUCUGGAGAUCACCUCUCUGGAGCUGUCCUAGAUCUAGUUUUUUUGUGGAGCAGAAGAAGCAAGAAAUUGUGAUUACAUUUGGAUUAUAUACCGUCAACUGCUUGAUGGAAGCUCUCAGAGGACAGUUACGUUAGGCUUGGUCUCCAAGCAUAACAAAGUAGACCUGAUUUGGAAAAGAAAGUGCUUAGAGGAGCAGAGACCUGAAGGGCCAGGGUGCAGGAUACCCAGCAGUGUCCCCACCAUCAGAAGAAAA
This 386-nucleotide small RNA is filed under the name Rattus norvegicus (Norway rat). RNAcentral's name for it is "uncharacterized LOC108351657". Lineage: Eukaryota; Metazoa; Chordata; Mammalia; Rodentia; Muridae. The record is from RNAcentral.